RNAcentral lists this ribosomal RNA (222 nucleotides) under uncultured bacterium. Its description in RNAcentral is "partial 16S ribosomal RNA". It matches the Rfam family "Bacterial small subunit ribosomal RNA", at positions 109 to 334 of the family's 1533-position model. The record is from RNAcentral.
AGUAAUACAUCGGAACGUGUCUUCUAGUGGGGGAUAACUGCCCGAAAGGGCAGCUAAUACCGCAUGAGACCUGAGGGUGAAAGCGGGGGAUCGCAAGACCUCGUGCUGGAAGAGCGGCCGAUGUCCGAUUAGCUAGUUGGUGAGGUAAAGGCUCACCAAGGCGACGAUCGGUAGCUGGUCUGAGAGGACGACCAGCCACACUGGGACUGAGACACGGCCCAG